GAUGAACGCUGGCGGCGUGCCUAAUACAUGCAAGUCGAGCGAACAGAUGAGGAGCUUGCUCCUCUGACGUUAGCGGCGGACGGGUGAGUAACACGUGGAUAACCUACCUAUAAGACUGGGAUAGCUUCGGGAAACCGGAGCUAAUACCGGAUAAUAUAUUGAACCGCAUGGUUCAAUAGUGAAAGACGGUUUUGCUGUCACUUAUAGAUGGAUCCGCGCCGCAUUAGCUAGUUGGUAAGGUAACGGCUUACCAAGGCAACGAUGCGUAGCCGACCUGAGAGGGUGAUCGGCCACACUGGAACUGAGACACGGUCCAGACUCCUACGGGAGGCAGCAGUAGGGAAUCUUCCGCAAUGGGCGAAAGCCUGACGGAGCAACGCCGCGUGAGUGAUGAAGGUCUUCGGAUCGUAAAACUCUGUUAUUAGGGAAGAACAAAUGUGUAAGUAACUAUGCACGUCUUGACGGUACCUAAUCAGAAAGCCACGGCUAACUACGUG
This 497-nucleotide ribosomal RNA is filed under the name uncultured bacterium. Its description in RNAcentral is "partial 16S ribosomal RNA". It matches the Rfam family "Bacterial small subunit ribosomal RNA", at positions 28 to 507 of the family's 1533-position model. The record is from RNAcentral.